UUACCAUUGAAAGACGCCUGUCGUUCAUCUUCUAGGUUUUCGUCUGUGGCGCAAGAGAGCUCUCAACCAUGGGAUGCCUGAUAUUGUACUACAUUGACUGCCAUUGAAGAAACGAAAUCUCCCAUAACAAAAUCGUGCUUAUAUCAAAAUCACUCAAGGCUCAAGUGGAAACCGUUCUCCACCCAAUUAAGUCGCCGUAUCUCAGCACCUCUCCCGCCUAACAAAGUGGAGCAAUCCUCUCCCUAAGGUUAAAGUUUGAGAUAGCUAAUGAGUUCCAAUCAAAACAGAUUCAGAUAUACAUUGGGAGCAUAUGAGAAGUUGUUUUUUGUUGUAUAUGUUCUAGCUGCUAAACAAUAUUCGGGAAGUUGCUUUUUGUUCUAUAUAUGUUUUAGCUUCUUAACAGUACUACUUAUGUUCUAACUAGCUAUUAGGUUAACUAUGACUGUAGUUGCUAUUGUUUAUGACUU
Molecule: long non-coding RNA, 467 nt
Organism: Tripterygium wilfordii
Lineage: Eukaryota; Viridiplantae; Streptophyta; Magnoliopsida; Celastrales; Celastraceae
Exons: 3
Source: RefSeq, a predicted model, not a curated record